This 1109-nucleotide long non-coding RNA is filed under the name Sus scrofa (pig). RNAcentral describes it as "lncRNA (ENSSSCG00060062930.1)". Lineage: Eukaryota; Metazoa; Chordata; Mammalia; Artiodactyla; Suidae. The record is from RNAcentral.
UAGUGCAUAUUUCGGCAUGUAUUAGCCAUGAUAAACGGUAGCUCGAAAAAGAAUAGAGCUAAGGACAGAGUAAAAUAGUUACCGAUGGCAGCUGUCAAAUAUUGGGUUACAAAUCUAUAGAAAGAUAUUGCAAGCCAUUAAAAAGUACAUUAAAACAUGCGUCUGUAAGGGUUUUGAAAACCUGUAGCUGGAAUGGCUAGGAAUUGUGGGUUUGCAGCUUUUGGUCCAAGGGUGGUACUCAGCUCCCACGGGUGUGACUGUGGGAGACUGCGGUGGAAACAGGGCAGCCUCACCACUGAUGACGCCAGGAUUGGAGAUGGGACUGGGAAAGCAGCUGCAAGUUGAAGAGAAACCCUCCCAGCACCAGCCCCUCCGGAGAGAGUCACAACUUUGGAGCCUAAGUUGUCCAACUCCAUGGUUGACUGCUGAGCUAGAAAGAAAGAAAAAUGGAGGGAAUAAUGGCCCAGACCUCCCCAGUUUAAUGAAAACAUUGAUUUACUGUUCAAAAAACCCAACAAACCCAAAGAUAAACACAGAGACUUUUACUCCUGAGCACAUCAGAGUCAUAGGGUACAGGAGAUAACAGGAGCAUUGAGAAUGGAGGGUACCUUCGUUUCAUGAAUCAAGUGAUGGGAAAACUCAACGUUCUUUGUACUUAGAGGGUACCUGAUGCAAACGGUUCUGUGUAAGAUGGAUCAAAACAAGGUCCUGCUGGAGUUCCCGUGUGGCUCAGUGGUUAGCGAAUCCGACUAGGAACGGUGAGAUUGCGGGUUCGAUCCCUGGCCUUGCUCCGUGGGUUAAGGAUCCGGCGUUGCUGUGAGCUGUGUGGUGUAGCUUGAAGACCUGGCUCGGAUCCCGCGUUGCCUUGGCUGUGGUGUAGGCCAGCCGGUGGCUACAGCUCCGAUUCUACCCCUCGCCUGGGAACCUCCGUAUGCCGCGGAUGCGGCCCUAAAAAAAAAAGAAGACAAAAAAUAAAAAUAAAAAAAUAAACUAAAAUCUGUGAAAGGUGGAUUGCUCAUUGUUUAUAAUUAUAUGGUUUUGGUAGAACAGUAUAUUUCUGGAAUAAAUUAUAAAUGUGAACAUUAAAAAUCAUACAUUGUUUUCACAUG